Molecule: transfer RNA, 69 nt
Filed under: Bos taurus (domestic cattle)
Lineage: Eukaryota; Metazoa; Chordata; Mammalia; Artiodactyla; Bovidae
Also listed under: 4 other names
Rfam family: tRNA
About the family: Transfer RNA (tRNA) molecules are approximately 80 nucleotides in length. Their secondary structure includes four short double-helical elements and three loops (D, anti-codon, and T loops).
Source: Rfam by way of RNAcentral
CCUGGUGGCUCAGAGGUUAAAGUGUCUGCCUGCGAUGUAGGAGACCCGGGUUCGAAUCCUGGGUCAGGA